Molecule: ribosomal RNA, 601 nt
Filed under: Citrobacter freundii
Lineage: Bacteria; Pseudomonadati; Pseudomonadota; Gammaproteobacteria; Enterobacterales; Enterobacteriaceae
Description: bacterial SSU rRNA
Rfam family: Bacterial small subunit ribosomal RNA
Source: RNAcentral
ACGGGUGAGUAAUGUCUGGGAAACUGCCCGAUGGAGGGGGAUAACUACUGGAAACGGUAGCUAAUACCGCAUAACGUCGCAAGACCAAAGAGGGGGACCUUCGGGCCUCUUGCCAUCGGAUGUGCCCAGAUGGGAUUAGCUAGUAGGUGGGGUAACGGCUCACCUAGGCGACGAUCCCUAGCUGGUCUGAGAGGAUGACCAGCCACACUGGAACUGAGACACGGUCCAGACUCCUACGGGAGGCAGCAGUGGGGAAUAUUGCACAAUGGGCGCAAGCCUGAUGCAGCCAUGCCGCGUGUAUGAAGAAGGCCUUCGGGUUGUAAAGUACUUUCAGCGAGGAGGAAGGUGUUGUGGUUAAUAACCGCAGCAAUUGACGUUACUCGCAGAAGAAGCACCGGCUAACUCCGUGCCAGCAGCCGCGGUAAUACGGAGGGUGCAAGCGUUAAUCGGAAUUACUGGGCGUAAAGCGCACGCAGGCGGUCUGUCAAGUCGGAUGUGAAAUCCCCGGGCUCAACCUGGGAACUGCAUCCGAAACUGGCAGGCUAGAGUCUUGUAGAGGGGGGUAGAAUUCCAGGUGUAGCGGUGAAAUGCGUAGAGAUCU